UUAACUCAAAAUUGAAUCGAUUUGGAACAUUUGCCUACGUUUGCCGCUAGGGGCGCUGUCCAACUGCAUACAAAUUUGAGUUA
RNAcentral lists this microRNA precursor (83 nucleotides) under Bombyx mori (domestic silkworm). RNAcentral describes it as "mir-2807 microRNA precursor family". It matches the Rfam family "mir-2807 microRNA precursor family". The record is from Rfam by way of RNAcentral. Lineage: Eukaryota; Metazoa; Arthropoda; Insecta; Lepidoptera; Bombycidae.